Molecule: ribosomal RNA, 163 nt
Filed under: uncultured bacterium
Lineage: Bacteria
Description: partial 16S rRNA
Rfam family: Bacterial small subunit ribosomal RNA
Source: RNAcentral
UAGGGAAUCUUCGGCAAUGGACGAAAGUCUGACCGAGCAACGCCGCGUGAGUGAAGAAGGUUUCGGAUCGUAAACUCUGUUGGUAGAGAAGAACGUUGGUGAGAGUGGAAAGCUCAUCAAGUGACGGUAACUACCCAGAAAGGGACGGCUAACUACGUGCCAA